UGCCAGCCGCCGCGGUAAUACGGAGGGUGCAAGCGUUGUUCGGAAUCACUGGGCGUAAAACGUGCGUAGGCCACCUAAUAAGUCGGAUGUGAAAUCCCGGGGCUUAACUCCGGAACUGCAUUCGAUACUGCUUAGCUAGAGUAUGAGAGAGGGUAGUGGAAUUCCGGGUGUAGCGGUGAAAUGCGUAGAUAUCAGGAGGAAUACCAGUGGCGAAGGCGGCCAUCUGGCUCGGUACUGACGCUGAGGUGCGAAAGUGUGGGGAGCAAACAGGAUUAGAUA
This 279-nucleotide ribosomal RNA is filed under the name uncultured bacterium. Its description in RNAcentral is "partial 16S ribosomal RNA". It matches the Rfam family "Bacterial small subunit ribosomal RNA", at positions 506 to 784 of the family's 1533-position model. The record is from RNAcentral.